RNAcentral lists this long non-coding RNA (403 nucleotides) under Vombatus ursinus (common wombat). Its description in RNAcentral is "lncRNA (ENSVURG00010001588.1)". Lineage: Eukaryota; Metazoa; Chordata; Mammalia; Diprotodontia; Vombatidae. The record is from RNAcentral.
ACCCCACUGGGUGGAUUUCGCUACCCCACUCCCCACACCAAGCAGGCCCAGAUCGUUUGUCCUUCCCUAGCUGGACACUCCUGCCGGGACCGGCAACCAGUGAGAGAGAGAGAGAGAGUGCCCCUUCCUCCCCUCUGGCUCCGUGGGGAGCCGGAGUCCUCGUUGCUUUCAUCUUCCCGCCUGCCCUCCUCUUCUCGUCCUGCUUGGCUUCCCUCUGUCAGGCUCUCCUCCAAAGAGCUGAAAGCAGGGAGAGGAAAGCGUGUGUAUUUCCUACUAGUCACCGAGGGGAGAGCCCUGAAGGACAGAGACCCAGUACCACCUCCUCCAAUUUCUCUUCCCAGCUUUCCUUCACUUGGAAAACAGGACACGGACAGAACAUCUAACUUCAGACAGCCAUCAGGAG